CAUGCCUGCAGAGACCGGAAGAGAGUGCUUCCGGCCGCGAUGCGUCGCUCUGAAGGAAGCUAGCUUGAUAUCUCCCCUUUUCAGCGUGCUUGACAUUCAUCUCCAGCACACUGAAUAACAGCCACCCGGCAGUCAACUUUAAGGGUAACUUAGAGAGCCUCUUUCUGCUGAACCCUUAUCUCUCUAACUGCAGGACCUGCCCAAAGGGGUGUAUGUGUACACGUACCAAUGGAAUCUGAAUAAAUGUAAAGGACACAAGGGAGAAAAAUCAUGACUGAAGUAGCAAGAAGAGACAACCAGCUGACCUCCGUGUGUGAUGACCCGGAGGUAGGGUCUGAUGACCUGCAUGUCAAUACGAUGCUCCUGUUCUCCGAUGAUCACCGUCCUCCAGAGGCGUCCGUUGUUGACGUUCCCCUCCUCGUCCGCUUCUCCUGAGCCACCAGCAGGACCACCUGCUUUGGCCGAGGCCACCGGUGUGUCAUCUGGACAGACACAGAGACAGGUUUUGUUCUUAAAGGGCUCUGUCGUCUGUCAGACCACAAGAGGGAUCCAUGUCUCCGUACUCUGGUAGUGGUCUGGAGGGAAACACACACAGGAGGACAGUGCGUGCUCAACAACACUGGCUUCAGCCCAGAGAAACAGACACAGAUGAACGGUUCGACCCUUUUCCCCCCCGAGGACCCCUGCAGUGAUUACUAGUCCAACGCUUCCUUUGUCAGGAAUGAAAGCCAAUUCUAUGAACAGAUUUAUGGGGAUUUCUUCUUUUAACAAAAGCAAGAUAAUCUCUUUUGUUCCUGUUUAUGACUGCAUUGUCCUUCAGCUACAAUAUCAGGAUGAAUCGAUGAUGCUUACCUUCUGGAAAUAGCACUGGGCUGCUGUUGUCAAAUAGC
Sebastes umbrosus (honeycomb rockfish) is the source of this 890-nucleotide long non-coding RNA. RefSeq lists it as uncharacterized. The record is from RefSeq and is a predicted model, not a curated record. The transcript is spliced from 6 exons. NCBI's taxonomy places the organism in Eukaryota, Metazoa, Chordata, Actinopteri, Perciformes, Sebastidae.